Molecule: RNA transcript, 6129 nt
Organism: Musa acuminata AAA Group (dessert banana)
Lineage: Eukaryota; Viridiplantae; Streptophyta; Magnoliopsida; Zingiberales; Musaceae
Gene name: protein OBERON 4-like
Exons: 4
Source: RefSeq, a predicted model, not a curated record
GUUCGCAGGAAAAGAGGGAAACGACAUCGGCAGGGAGACGCGAGAGUUCGCUCGUUGAUGACUCGGUUGACUGAAGCAGGAAGGGGCUUUGCGAAAGAGGUAGAGAAGCCAAAGCAAAGCAGAGAAGCCCUCCUUAACACGCCUCUGCUUUGAGAAGCCAAAGCGAAAUGGAGAGAGCACCGUCGUGCCUUCUUCUCCACUCCUCUCUCUUUUGUGGGUGGCGGUGGUAGCAGUGGUAAUACUGCUAACCGUGAUAGCCUCACCAAGGCCCCCUCCGCCGCCUGCCGAGAACGUCCUCCAUCGCUGCUGGAUCUGCACCCUCCCUCCCUUCUCCACUGUCUCUCGGGUUUCGAUCUCCCCGUGUCCUUCCUCUCGUCUUGAGAAAUUAGGGUCUUGGAAGGCCACCGCCUUUAGCUGCUUGGAUCAAGAAAGGUUGCUGCUUUUUCUUUGGUUCCCCGUGAUUUCUUGGUCGACGAUGAAGCGGCCGGGAUCAUCCUCGUACGGGGAUGAUUUCGACGACGAUGACGGUAUAGGCGGGAGGAUGAGCUUCAAGGACUGGCCGAGGAGGAAUCAAGAUCCCGACCGCUCGUCGUCGUCGUCGCACCGGCGACUCUCCUACUCGAAGACGGAGGGUCCGCGGAAGGUGGCGCCCUCCUCGUCGUCCUAUGGUCGGUCGCUCGACGACGACUGGGAACCGGCACGGCACACCCGGAGACGUUAUGAUCAUGAGCUGGAGUCCUUAGAUUGGCGGAAGGGCCACAGUCGGUACAGGGUUGGUGGUGAUCGAAUGAUGCAGGUCUCGUCGCCGAGGGUCUCGUAUGGGGGCGACCUGAUGCACCGUUCAGAGAGCUUCUCGGGGCUGAGAAGGGACGUCCCGAAGGGUUUCAGGUCGGAGAGGGACCGGUUGAGGAGGGACGGGAAUGGUAGCUCGUCGUGGUGGAGAUCGAGAAGCUCGAAGGAGCUCAGUGUUGAGGAAGUGCCGAAAUCGCCGUCGAUUGAUUCGGAUUCAGUGGGGAGACGGAGUCAUGCUACGUCGCCAGAUGAUCAUAGAGGGAAAGUGAGGUCCAAGGACUCCUCGAGUGGGCUGCGAUCUACAAGAGUCGAGGCAAAGACCGUAAAGACAGUGAAGCCAAUCAGAGAAGGUGGCAACAGUAGCGAGAUGGAAGAGGGAGAGCUCGAACCGGAUCUGGUGUCAGAAGCAGAACCUGUAGCUGAACCUUCCAUGGGUAGCAAGACAGCAACUGGAGUGGAAUCAAAGAACUGCAAGGACAGAAAUCCAGAGUACAAUAGUCUUCCUGAAGAAGUAUCAAAGGAGAUCUUAUUAAGUGGAAAGAUGUUGGACAUUCAUGGUAAUGGUUCUCUUGCUGUAAAGGAAGAAGGAAAGUUAACAGAAGUCAUAAUGGACACAGGAAAUACUAGUGAUGAGAUAAAAAAUGAACAGUGUGAUGCUACGAAGGAGCUCGAUGAGAGUAGCAAGUUAACUUAUCCAAUAAACAUGAGUGACCAGGUAAGCAAUGACCGAUGUGAUGCUGUUAAGGAGUUGAGUGAGAGUAGCAGGGAUGGUGAGAGUAGCAGGGAAGGAGAGCAAAAAACUAAGCGCACUAAUGGGAAUAAUGAACUGGAGGAUAAAUUUUGUGGAAAGAAGUGUGCUGCUGUCAACAAGCUGGUUGAGAGUAGGAGGGGAGGUGAAGGAACAACUAAGGAUUCUAUUGGAGAUACCGAGGUGGAAGUUAAAUUUUGUGGGAAGCAGGAAGUCUGUAAAGAAGAAACCUUGUGCUCACAGUUUCAAGGGGAAAAACUGGAAGGCAAUGAUGAAGAGCAGGCAAUUGAAGAAGCAGCAAAAGAGAUGACAUCUGCUAUUUCCCCUUGGCAUGAAGAGAAGUUAGUGGAGAAUAAGGAAGAAGCCAAACAUAAUGAAACUAUAGUUGAAAUCGAGCAGGCAGUCGAGGAAGAAGUGAAAGAGAUGACGUCUAUUAUUUCCCCUUCGCAGGAAGAAAAGUUAGCAGAGAGUAAGGAAGAAGCCCAAUCCAGUGAAGCUAAAGUUGAAACCGAAGAGAAGCAUGAGAUGGGUAAUGAACAAGGUAUGGAAACUGAAGUUAAUUUUCAAGAAAGAUUUGAAACUGCCAUAGGGCUUAAAGUUGAGCAGAAAGAACAAAGAGGUACUGAUCUUGAGACUCAACCAAACGGUGCUGUUAGCUUGUUAGAUCAAAUUAAGGAAGUUACUUGUGAGACUAACCAUGAGCUAGUGACGCUGGCGCUUAUGAGUAACCGCCAGAACAGGGAGAACUACAAGGGAAAAGGUAAGGGGCUCGCAAUUUCUCUCUUAACUAAAGGGGAUCUUGUAGAAGAUGAUUGUGCCAUGGAGGGCCCUAGUGGAAGAGACCUCGAGUUGAUUUUCAGAUCUGACAUUAGCCAGGCAGAUAAAGCAAGCUCAAGUACGCUUGUCCCCCACGCUCUUGCAGAUGAGAAACUCAAAAUUGAACCUCUUGAUCUCUCUCUUGCUCUGCCAGGUGGUUUAUUGGAUCAUUCUUCAAAACAGUCAAAGCCAAAACCUGAAAUCCCAAGCUGUGCUAGGAGCAUCCAGUCUUUUCCAUCCUCAUUCAGAACAAAUUCAGAUGGAUUUGAAACUUCCAUGUCAUUUACAAGCUCUCAACCCUUCGUUCAUAAUCCCAGUUGUUCUCUCACUCAAAAUUCGUUGGACAAUUGUGAGCACUCUGUUGGUAGCCAUCCUAUAUUACAAGGAAUGGAUCAGGUUUCUGGUGGUCUGAUAUGGCAGGCUCAGGCUUCAAAUGACUCUAGAAGGAAAGGAUCUAGCUCUUUCUUCCAAAGGGUACUUAUGAAUGGUAAUUCUGCACAUGAUUCACAUCAUAUCAUGAAUGCCGAUCAUCAGUCAAAGUCCAGUGGCUUAGUCCAGCAGUCAAGCCUUUCAAGACAGAUGUCCCUGAUGAACAGCCAUGGUUCUCAUGAUAUGACAUCUCAACUUAACAAGGAUAAGAAGCUGCUCGCUGGGGAGAGAAGUAGCAGCAUUGUGUGUAGGACCGAGCAACAGGAUAGCGAGCAGCUUGUACUUAAUGGUUCUUGUGUCAUGGAGAAAAUUCUCUCUAAAAUUGUGGUAGAACCUUUAUAUCUUACUGGAAGAAUGCUUCAGGAAAUGACAGAUCAUUCAGUAGCAUACUUGAGGGAAUCCAUUUCGGAGAUGCUGGCUAAUACAAAUAAAAGAAGGCAGCUGUAUGAAUUUCAGGAGGAGCUUCGAAGGAGGUCUGACAUGACGAUGGAUACAUUAAUCAACUGUCCUCAAGUCCUACUACAGAUCCUGGUGGCAAUAAAAACAGGUCUUCCUGAUUUUAUUCAGGGAACAUCUAAUUUGUCAUCCUCCAGUUUGGUUGAGAUCUUCCUGAACUUGAAGUGCAGGAAUCUUGCUUGUCGGAGUUCCUUGCCAGUGGAUGAUUGUGAUUGCAAAGUUUGCAUAGAGAAAACUGGCUUUUGCAGUGCUUGCAUGUGUUGUGUGUGUUCCAAAUUUGAUAAUGCAUCAAAUACUUGUAGUUGGGUUGGUUGUGAUGUAUGCCUCCAUUGGUGUCACACAGACUGCGGAUUACGUUAUUCUCAUAUUAGAAAUGGAAGUAGUGCCUCAGGGGAAGGGAUUAGUGAGAUGCAAUUUCACUGUGUUUCUUGUCACCAUCCUUCGGAGAUGUUUGGUUUUUUUAAGGAGGUUUUUCAAACCUGCGCCAAGGAUUGGAAAGCAGAGACUCUUGCUAAGGAGCUUCAAUAUGUCAGAAGGAUCUUUUCCACCAGUAAUGAUAGACGGGGUAAAAGAUUACAUGAAUUGGUCCAUAAGAUGCUGCUGAAUCUGGAGAAGAAAGUUAAUCAUUCUGAAGUUGUUAUUCACAUUUUGACAUUCCUUUCUGAUAGUGAAUCUAACAUUGGCAGCUUCCUCUGCACACCCAAGGAGCCAUCCAAAAAUAAGGCUGGCCAUUGCAAUGCUAUAGCUUGCUCAAGCAAAGACUGCUUGCCAUCUGUCUUGCCAGAAAAGGCCUCCCUUCUUGCAAAUUCAGGUCUUGUUUUAAGCAUGGACUGUGACCAGGUUGGUAAGAAAGCUAGGGACAUUGAGCUACGUCUUGAGAAGAAACCAGUUAGUGAUGAGCUGGAGAGUCUCAUAAUGUUCAAACAAGCAGAGGGCAAAAUGUACCAAGAACGUGCUGAUGAUGCAAGGAGAGAAGUGGAGAGCCUAAAACACAUAGCGAUAGCAAAGAAUAUUAAGAUCGAUGAAGACUACGAUGGUCGACUUAAAAAACUACGACUGGGUGUGUUAGAGGAAAGGCGUAGACAAAAGUUUGAAGAUCUACAAGCUGCUGAAAAGGCAUACCGGGAGUUUUUCAACAUGAAGAUGCGGAUGGAAGUUGAUAUCAAAGAUCUCUUAUUAAAAAUGGAAGCUACCAAACAGAGCCUAAAUACAUGAUUGGAAUUCAAAGGCCAACACUUUCGGAUAGUUGGCUCUCUUGUUAGAUUACUGCAGUGAUAGGUCACCUGCAUAUGUAGGAAUCUUCCACUAAAGUUUAUCAUAAUCAAGGGGUUUGGAAGUCAAACAUUCUGCACAUACGAGUAUUCUGAGGUUCCUCAGAGCUGUGUUCAAGCAGAUGCACUGAGUACUGCUAUCUUUUGAUCUCCCAAACAUGUUCAGGUAACAAUCCAUUGUCUUCCAAUCUGGAUGUCCUUCAGCAAUUAAAUCUUAAGUUUCUGAGUCUGUUCAAGAUUAAUUUAGUCAAGAAGUUAUAUCAUAAUUUUUUGUAAAUCUGAGACUAGCUGAAGUUUCUCAUGAUCAGAUUCCUUGGCAUCCAUUUCCAAUAUCCAUCAUAAGUUGUAGUCACCUGAAGGAAUCGCUAUGCUAAAAGUAUUUUGGUCCUAUUAACAUCAGAUUGGCUGAUCCUUGAAGCAAAUACCUAGCAUGUCACUGUUCUAGUUAUUAUGGAAUUGUCAUCAACCUGGCCACAUAGCUAAAUUGAUGUGCCUGCAAAAUGAGGUUGCAAUAAAUAUUAGUAUAUUACCACAAGCAUAAGCAUUGUACUUCCACAUUUUUGCUGCAAAUAGUUGUUUUAUGGAUCAACUAUCAAAUGAUUGGAAAAACCUUAUGAAUUCUUGUUCUUUAUGAGUAGUGGUCGCAGUUUUAUCACUGAUUUGAAGCUUGUUCACAGAUUUUUUCUUAGCCUUCCAAACCACAUGUACAUGCAGAGCUUGUUGUGCUGCUGGAUCAGUUGAGGGCAGUCAAUCAUUCCUUCAACACAUGGAACCCUUCAGUGAAACAUGGCGGAACAUGGAUUUCACAGCUCAUCAACAUCACUGGGUUGGAGAACAACGUGCUGCAAAUAAAGUAAGUUUGCAUCAUAGAAUACGAUUCAAGUCAGGUGCUGUCAAGACAAUGUUAAUAUAGAUUAUGAUAAGAUGUUUGCUGGUUUAGCCAGUAAGACUUCUAACUAUUGAUUACAAGAUUUGGCAGCAAAUCCAGUUCUAUAUCUGCAAAAGGUGUAUUGUUCCUGUUGUAGGUGUAGGUGACAUACACGAGAACUCCUUAUCCAUGUCUUCAAUAUCAUGAUCCCAUCCUAGGAAUCGCCAUCAUCCACAGAGGAGGCCACUCUGAGGACUCCUCUUGAAGCCAUAAUGUAUACAAGAACAGUGCCUGACUUGCCAUGUGUUUUGAGAACUUGUACUUUAACAUUCUUAGAGCAUAUCUCUACAGAGAGAGCUGAGAAGGGAUCGAGAUCGGAUCAAGUACAGUGUUGUGCCGCAGCCAGAUCUUGACGUCGGCCACCAGUAAGCCCUCCUCCACCACCUGCACAGAGAGCAUCUCUCACAUAGUACGUGAGAGAGACAGGAGAAGCAUCAUGCCAUCUCUACUAUCGUGGAAGCGUGGUAGCUGUCGAAAGGGGCAGCCCCAAAGGGGAAGGUAUGCAUGUGUCUGUAUUGGUAGAAACUAUCUCAAAUCAGGUCAUGCAUGUAUUUAUAUGUAUAUGUACCAAACUAUGUUAGUUUGUGUAUCUUGUGAUGUGGUCAACUUGAUUGCACGAGAAAAAUUCAAGCUUUGUGUAUGAAUUUUGGUCACCAAAUGCAUUACUUAAUGGCUUAUCCUUCUAGUCA